This 1245-nucleotide long non-coding RNA is filed under the name Anas platyrhynchos platyrhynchos (common mallard). Its description in RNAcentral is "lncRNA (ENSAPLG00000022071.1)". Lineage: Eukaryota; Metazoa; Chordata; Aves; Anseriformes; Anatidae. The record is from RNAcentral.
AUGGGGAGGAAAAAAAAAUAUAUAUAUAUAAAAAAAUCCCACCCUCCACUGGUUUUAUUCUGUGGGAGAGAAAAGAGGAUUUGGCUUCCUUGUGGCCCUGCCCGGCAGAGCGGAAAGGGAGAGACGGGAGGGAGGACGGGGCCGCGGGUGGCUGCUGCAGCCGGGGCCAUCGCUGUCCCCAUCCCUGUCCCCAUUGCUUUGUCCCCGUCCCUGUCCCCAUCGCCCUGUCCCCAUCCCCGGGACACGCUGCUGGCUGCAUCCACGCUGCUGCCCGCGUCCUCUCUGCCCCCACGCUGUCACCACGCUGUCACCGCCCCGGUGCCGGCGCCCCGAGCCACUUGUCACCCAGCACGAGGCAAUGGGAUGGAAAAAAGCGCAAGCAUUGCGGCUGGCCCCAAAAAUCCCCCGGACGGUGCCACGCAUGGACCUCGGGCACUGCCAGAGUGGGGAAACCGAGGCACGGGACUGCCGGCGGUGUCACCGUGUCCCCAAAAUUGGGAGAUGGAGGGGGGGACAUGCGCAGCCCGCGGGUGCCAUCGUGCCCGUGCAGCGGGCGGGUGCCGCGGCUGGCGGGGGACGCGGCGGAGCGGAGACGUGAUCGAGCCUGGCACUUCGCCGUCCUCCCGCCCCAUCUGCCGAGGAGCAGCAGCUAUUUUAGGCUCCGGCAAUUUGGGGCUUUCUGCUCAAGCCGGCCGCGGCUCGGGGCAGGGACAUGGGUGGCUGGUGGUGGCCUCAAGGACGGAGCCCCACGCGUGUCCCCAACCCAGGGUGGCAGCCACAGACCCAAACCCACCCCAGGACCACGGGGAGCAGGGAUGGGAGCUGGGACGAGGCUUGGGGCAGAGGGGACCCUGUGGCUUGGGAUGCCCCCACCCUGCUCCAGCAGCGUCCCCGUGUCCCCGUGCCACACGGGCGGGUGACAGCAGCGGGGACGGGGACCCGGGUGGCAGCCCAGCCCGGCAGCACGCUCGCCCACAGCUCGCAGCCAGCAAAUUGAUAUUUGCUAGAGAGGGUCCCCGUUGCCAUCAACAAUUUAUGAGGCUGCUUCGCUGCGAUUACCCCAGCAAGACGGCGCUGCCCGGGAACAGCGCGAGCCGCGCGCUCGGAAAGCGUCUUGGCAGGAGGAGCCGCUUCCGCUCCUUGUUUGAAGUCACUCAAUGCCCUCUUCUAUUUUCUUCUCCUUUCCCCUUCGCUUUUUUAACGCUAACGUGGCCGGAGGGGUGGGCAACAGGACGGGAACGCUGA